Molecule: ribosomal RNA, 497 nt
Filed under: uncultured bacterium
Lineage: Bacteria
Description: partial 16S ribosomal RNA
Rfam family: Bacterial small subunit ribosomal RNA
Source: RNAcentral
GACGAACGCUGGCGGCGUGCCUAAUACAUGCAAGUUGAGCGAUGAAGCUUGGUGCUUGCGCCAAUUUGAAGAGCAGCGAACGGGUGAGUAACGCGUGGGGAAUCUGCCUUUGAGCGGGGGACAACAUUUGGAAACGAAUGCUAAUACCGCAUAACAACUUUAAACAUAAGUUUUAAGUUUGAAAGAUGCAAUUGCAUCACUCAAAGAUGAUCCCGCGUUGUAUUAGCUAGUUGGUGAGGUAAAGGCUCACCAAGGCGAUGAUACAUAGCCGACCUGAGAGGGUGAUCGGCCACAUUGGGACUGAGACACGCCCCAAACUCCUACGGGAGGCAGCAGUAGGGAUUCUGCGGCAAUGGACGAAAGUCAUACCGAGCAACGCCGCGUGAGUGAAGAAGGUUUUCGGAUCGUAAAGCUCUGUUGGUAGAGAAGAACGUGGGUGAGAGUGGAAAGCUCAGCAAGUGACGGUAACUACCCAGAAAGGGACGGCUAACUACGUG